ACCAAAGAGUGUGAGAGUCACGUAGAUGAAAACGGCGAGAGCUGCGCGAGUUCCAGAGUACGGCCAGACACGUGAAACCUGGUCGGAAGAUGGGGGGACCACCCUCCAACCCUAAAUACUACCCAGUGACCGAUAGCGUAUAGUACUGUGAAGGAAAGGUGAAAAGGACCCCGGGAGGGGAGUGAAAUAGAACCUGAAACCUUGUGCCUACAAGCACAUAGAGCACAUCAACGUGUGAUAUGGUACUUUUUGUAGAACGGUCCGGCGAGCGAUUGUAUGUUGCGAGCUUAAGGUCUUAAGGACUGGAGGCGUAGCGAGAGCGAGUCUGAACAGGGCGUUCAGUAACAUGCAAUGGGCCCGAAACCGGGUGACCUACCCAUGAUCAGGCUGAAGUGAAAGUAAAAUUUCAUGGAGGGCCGAACCGACCUCCGUUGAAAAGGCGGCGGAUGAAUUGUGGGUAGCGGAGAAAUUCCAAUCGAACUCGGAGAUAGCUGGUUCUCCCCGAAAUAGCUUUAGGGCUAGCCUCAUAUUAGAUACCCGGAGGUAAAGCACUGAAUGGCCUAGCGCCCGAGAGGGUAGCGAAGCCUAUCAAACUAAGAAUGCCGGAGUAUUGAUGUAUGGGAGUCAGACAGUGUGAGAUAAAUCUCAUUGUCAAAAGGGAAACAGCCCAGAUCUACAGCUAAGGUCCCAAAUUGUAUCUAAGUGGAAAACGAUGUGGAAAUACGCAGACAACCAGGAUGUUGGCUCAGAAGCAGCCACUCAUUUAAAGAGUGCGUAAUAGCUCACUGGUCGAGCGUCUCUGCGCGGAAAAUUUAACGGGGCUAAGAUACAAACCGAAGCUUAGGCUGCAACGUAAGUUGCGGGGUAGGGGAGCGUUGUGUAAGCGGAGAAACAGUAGCGUAAGCGGCUGUGGAGUUUACAGAAGUGAGAAUGCCGGAAUGAGUAGCGCGAAUGUGGUGAGAAUCCACAUGGCCGGAAACCUCAGGUUUUUGGAGGAAGGUUCGUCCGCUCCAAGUUAGGCGGGAGCUAAGGUCAGGCCGAAAGGCGUAGCCGAUGCACAGACGGUAGAGAUUCCGUCCCCACCGAAAGAUUUAAGCACAGGGACACUUUUUGAAGGUCGGAGCCAGGUGUUGGUUCUGGUAGUGAUCGAGGGAAAUAUAGUACCGAAGUCCGGCUGGAAGAGAGGCGAGAAAAGCUGUGUGUAUAUCUAAGGUGCCCGUACCGCAAACCGACACAGGUAGGUAGGAAGAAGAUUCUAAGGCCAACGGGAGAAGGGUUGUUAAGGAACUCGGCAAGUUGACCCCGUAACUUCGGAAUAAGGGGUGCUCACGAGAGUGAGCCGCAGAGAAUAGGCCCAGGCAACUGUUUACCAAAAACACAGGUUUGUGCUAAAUCGAAAGAUGACGUAUACGAGCUGACGCCUGCCCGGUGCUGGAAGGUUAAAAGGAGAUGUGCAAGCAUUGAAUUGAAGCCCCAGUGAACGGCGGCCGUAACUAUAACGGUCCUAAGGUAGCGAAAUUCCUUGUCAGGUAAGUUCUGACCCGCAUGAAAGGCGUAAUGAUUUGGGCACUGUCUCAACAGCCCGCCCGGCGAAAUUGUAGUACCGGUGAAGAUGCCGGUUACCCGCGACAAGACGGAAAGACCCCAUGGAGCUUUACUGUAGCCUGAUAUUGGGUUUCGGUGUUGCAUGCACAGGAUAGAUGGGACGCUGGGAAAGAAGCGCUUUGGCGUUUCUGGAGCGGACGUUGGGAUACCAUCCUUGCGACAUUGGAAUUCUAACCUGCGCCUCUGAAUCGAGGCGGGGGACAUUGUCAGGUGGGCAGUUUGACUGGGGCGGUCGCCUCCUAAAAAGUAGCGGAGGCGUUCAAAGGUUCGUUCGAUCUGGACGGAAACCAGAUGAUUGAGUGCAAACGCAUAAACGAGCCUGACUGCGAGACUGACGGGUCGAGCAGAGACGAAAGUCGGAGUUAGUGAUCCGGUGGUAUGUGAGUGGAAAUGCCAUCGCUCAACGGAUAAAA
This 2018-nucleotide ribosomal RNA is filed under the name human gut metagenome. Its description in RNAcentral is "bacterial LSU rRNA". It matches the Rfam family "Bacterial large subunit ribosomal RNA", at positions 354 to 2461 of the family's 2925-position model. The record is from RNAcentral.